Oncorhynchus tshawytscha (Chinook salmon) is the source of this 885-nucleotide long non-coding RNA. NCBI's taxonomy places the organism in Eukaryota, Metazoa, Chordata, Actinopteri, Salmoniformes, Salmonidae. The record is from Ensembl.
GGAGAGGGAGGCAUGAGGGAGAGGGAGGCAUGAGGGAGAGGGAGGCUUAUGGGAGAGGGAGGCUUGGGGGAGAGGGCGGUAUGAGGGAGAGGGAGGUAUGAGGGAGAGGGAGGCUUGGGGGAGAGGGAGGUAUGAGGGAGAGGGAGGUAUGAGGGAGAGGGAGGCUUGGGGGAGAGGGAGGCAUGGGGAGAGGGCGGUAUGGGGGAGAGGAGGUAUGGGGGAGAGGGCGGUAUGGGGGAGAGGGAGGCUUGGAGGAGAGGGAGGCUUGGGGGAGAGGGAGGCUUGGGGGAGAGGGAGACAUGGAGGAGAGGGAGGCUUGGAGGAGAGGGAGACAUGGAGGAGAGGGAGACAUGGAGGAGAGGGAGGCUUGGAGGAGAGGGAGGCUUGGAGGAGAGGGAGACAUGGAGGAGAGGGAGACAUGGAGGAGAGGGAGGCUUGGAGGAGAGGGAGGCUUGGGGGAGAGGGAGACAUGGAGGAGAGGGAGGCUUGGGGGAGAGGGAGACAUGGAGGAGAGGGAGGCUUGGGGGAGAGGGAGGCUUGGAGGAGAGGGAGGCUUGGGGGAGAGGGAGGCUUGGAGGAGAGGGAGGCUUGGGGGAGAGGGAGACAUGGAGGAGAGGGAGGCUUGGGGGAGAGGGAGGCUUGGAGGAGAGGGAGGCUUGGGGGAGAGGGAGGCUUGGAGGAGAGGGAGGCUUGGGGGAGAGGGAGGCUUGGGGGAGAGGGAGGCUUGGAGGAGAGGGAAGCUUGGGGGAGAGGGAGGCUUGGGGGAGAGGGAGGCUUGGGGGAGAGGGAGGCUUGGGGGAGAGGGAGGCUUGGAGGAGAGGGAGGCUUGGAGGAGAGGGAAGCUUGGGGGAGAGGGCCUUAGACCGCUGCGCCACUCGGGAGCCC